AAUGGGAGCUGAGCGACCAUCGCCUUCCUCAUUCAUCUCAUCCAUAAGUUUUUUCAGCUUCUGUCGUUGCACUUCUGCAGCCGUCUGAGGACGGUUACCAACUAAGGGGCUACUGGAAUCUGAUUUUGCAACAACCUUGCCUUUCAUAGAACCUUCCCCAUUUAGAUUACUAGAUUUGCCUGCCACUUCUGAUGUGGGUUUUGAUUUUUUUGAUUUGAUAAACUUAGGGUUUCCAUCUUUAGAUAUUUCUGUGGAAGAGUUUCCACUUUGUGCAGGAGGCACUGCAUUCAAUAAUGCAACUCCUACAUGGGCCUGCUUCAAAGCUCCAACAUCAUUGGUUCCAUCCCCACACAUCAAUGUUAUCCUUCCCACUGUUUUGAAAGUAGUCAUAAUUAGUUCCUUUUGCUCAGGAGCAACUCUUGCAAAGACCUUGACAUGAGGAAUGACUCGAAGAACAGCAGAACUCUGCUGCAACAUCUCAAUGCAGUCACCUCCAAUGCAGAGAUCAUGAGUUUCUGAUAAAGCUCCAACCUCUUUAUCAUUGUAAUGGAUUUUCUCUGCCUCAUCUGGUGAUAUCCAUUCAUAUCCUUCAGGAUGCCUGGCUCGACCAAGAAUUAAUGCUGGUUUUGAUAUGAUAUGCACUUGGCCAGCAACAUGGCAGGCUGUCAAAGCCUGGUCACCCGUGAUCAUCACCAAGUCAUGUGAUGAAUUCUUUAAUUCAGAUAAAAUUGCGGCUGAAUCUGCUCUUAUAGGACAAUUAAAUACCGCAAAACCAGCAAAAGUAAGGCCACUUUCUACUACAUCUCUAUCCAAGCUUCUAGCCUCACUAACUGUCAUGUCCGGAAGGGACUUGAAAGCAAGGGCCAGAACCCGAGAACCUUGGCGUGUAUAUUUCUUAUAAGUAUCAACAUAAGAUUGUGGCAAAUCAAUAAGUCUAUCCUGAAUAGUUUCUGGUGCCCCCUUCACAAAAGCAAGAAAUUCAUCCUGUAUGCGAACAACAACUGCCAUUCGUUUUAAAUGGGAUGCAAAAUGAUGCCUUUGGACAAUCUGCACAGCAUUGCCACCUCCCCUUUUUGGCAUGGCCUUCUCAUCAGAUUUGUAACUCCAGUCUAUCCCUUUAAGUGCAGCCUUCUCAAGAGGAUCACCAACCAGUUUGUUGUCCACAAACACUAACGCAUGACAAGAAGCCAAAAUUUCCACAGUUCGAACGGGCACUUUAGUCAUAUCAGAUUCUAAAUUCAUUCCGUCAUUCAACCCUACAACUCCACAGAACUCCAUGUCAUCUGAAGUAAGCGUUCCAGUUUUAUCAAAACAACAUAUGUCAACUUUCCCAGCAAACGGAAUACGAAAGGGUUCAGUACAAAAUAUUCCACGUCGUGCCAAUGCAAUAAGAGAUGUAUUGACUGCUAUUGAUAAUUCCAUGGGCAACUCAGGUGGGAUCACAGAAGUUAUAAUAAGCGAACAACUUAGGAAAAGUUUGUAUUUGCUCCUUGUGGGAUCUUCCAGUCCCUUUUUAAGUACAUAACCAGCAGCAAUAACUGCAAAGACAACUAAAAAUAGAAUGAAGAGUCCACUUUCCCAGCUAUUGGCAGUAACCCUAUCUGUGGAAAAUAAAAUUGUCCUCAUCAGUUUCCCCUGGCUUGUUUCAAACCCAGUACGUAGAACAACAGCCACACAGCCACCAUCAGGCGUUCUCAAAGGAAAGGUCUUAUCUGGGGUAUGUUGCAAUAUUUUAGUCCCACCAAAUAAAACAUGGCUUUUAUCCCGCUUAAUUGAUAACUUCUCCUCAGUUCCUCUACCCAUGAUAGAAACCUUCCAUUGUGGAGUAGACUCGCCUGUGAGAAUAGCUUCAUUUACAAUGGCACUUCCGGCUAAUAAAAGCAUGUCUGCAGGCACUGACUUAUCUUCUCCACUCGGACCAGAGGAGCGCCCAAUGGACACAACAUCGCCAGGCAAAAGAUCAGUCCCAGGAAGUUUCACCCACUUCCCACAGCGAUGGACCAUAAGGAUCUGGCUA
This 2017-nucleotide unclassified non-coding RNA is filed under the name Hevea brasiliensis (rubber tree). The record is from RNAcentral. Lineage: Eukaryota; Viridiplantae; Streptophyta; Magnoliopsida; Malpighiales; Euphorbiaceae.